This 524-nucleotide ribosomal RNA is filed under the name uncultured bacterium. RNAcentral describes it as "bacterial SSU rRNA". It matches the Rfam family "Bacterial small subunit ribosomal RNA", at positions 777 to 1307 of the family's 1533-position model. The record is from RNAcentral.
AAUAGAUACCCGAGUAGUCCACGCCGUAAACGAUGGAUACUAGCUGUUUGAGCGCAAGUUUGAGUGGCUAAGCGAAAGUGAUAAGUAUCCCACCUGGGGAGUACGGGCGCAAGCCUGAAACUCAAAGGAAUUGACGGGGGCCCGCACAAGCGGUGGAGCAUGUGGUUUAAUUCGAUGAUACGCGAGGAACCUUACCAGGGCUUAAAUGUAGAUUGACGUAUUUGGAAACAGAUAUUUCUUCGGACAAUUUACAAGGUGCUGCAUGGUUGUCGUCAGCUCGUGCCGUGAGGUGUCAGGUUAAGUCCUAUAACGAGCGCAACCCCUGUUGUUAGUUGCCAGCGAGUAAUGUCGGGAACUCUAGCAAGACUGCCAGUGUAAACUGUGAGGAAGGUGGGGAUGACGUCAAAUCAUCACGGCCCUUACGUCCUGGGCCACACACGUGCUACAAUGGCCGGUACAGAGAGCAGCCACUUAGCGAUAAGGAGCGAAUCUAUAAAGCCGGUCACAGUUCGGAUCGGAGUCUG